UACAGAGGUCCCGAGCGUUGUUCGGAUUCACUGGGCGUAAAGGGUGCGUAGGCUGCACGGUAAGUCAGAGGUGAAAUCCCGGAGCUCAACUUCGGAAUUGCCUCCGAUACUGCCGUGCUUGAGGACUGGAGAGGAGAUUGGAAUUCACAGUGGAGCAGUGAAAUGCGUAGAUAUUGUGAGGAACACUAGUGGCGAAGGCGAAUCUCUGGACAGUUCCUGACGCUGAGGCACGAAGGCCAGGGGAGCAAACGGG
RNAcentral lists this ribosomal RNA (253 nucleotides) under uncultured bacterium. RNAcentral describes it as "partial 16S ribosomal RNA". It matches the Rfam family "Bacterial small subunit ribosomal RNA", at positions 524 to 776 of the family's 1533-position model. The record is from RNAcentral.